UGGGGAAUCUUGCGCAAUGGGCGAAAGCCUGACGCAGCGACGCCGCGUGGGGGAUGAAGCUUUUCGGAGCGUAAACCCCUUUCGACCCGGAAGAAAGCCCGCAAGGGUCUGACGGUACGGGUAUAAGAAGCCCCGGCUAACUACGUGCCAGCAGCCGCGGUAAAACGUAGGGGGCCAGCGUUGCUCGGAAUUACUGGGCGUAAAGGGUCUGUAGGCGGUGCGGCAAGUCGGAAGUGAAAUUCCAGGGCUUAACUCUGGGCUGCUUCCGAAACUGCUGUGCUCGAGUGUGAGAUAGGCGAGUGGAAUUGCAGGUGUAGCGGUGAAAUGCGUAGAUAUCUGCAGGAACAUCCGAGGCGAAAGCGGCUCGCUGGAUCACAACUGACGCUGAGAGACGAAAGCUAGGGGAGCAAACAGGAUUAGAUACCCUGGUAGUCCUAGCCCUAAACGAUCAGGACUUGACGUGAGCCCUGUACGGGGCUCGUGCCGUAGCUAACGCGAUAAGUCCUGCGCCUGGGGAGUACGGUCGCAAGGCUG
Molecule: ribosomal RNA, 534 nt
Filed under: uncultured bacterium
Lineage: Bacteria
Description: bacterial SSU rRNA
Rfam family: Bacterial small subunit ribosomal RNA
Source: RNAcentral